This 119-nucleotide ribosomal RNA is filed under the name Pteropus alecto (black flying fox). Lineage: Eukaryota; Metazoa; Chordata; Mammalia; Chiroptera; Pteropodidae. The record is from RNAcentral.
GUCUACGGCCAUGCCACCUUGAACAAGCCCGAUCCUGUCUGAUCUCAGAAGCUAAACAGGGUCGGGCCUGGUUAGUACUUGGAUGGGAGACCACCCAGGAAGACCAGGUGCUGUAAGCA